RNAcentral lists this ribosomal RNA (117 nucleotides) under Lepisosteus oculatus (spotted gar). Lineage: Eukaryota; Metazoa; Chordata; Actinopteri; Semionotiformes; Lepisosteidae. The record is from RNAcentral.
GCCAACAGCCAUAUAACCCUGCAGCUCUCAACUGGCUACCCACCAAAGCAAAGCAGGGUUGAGCCUUGCCAGUACCUGGAUGGGAGACCUCCUGGGAAGCUAUGGUUGCUGCUGGAA